RNAcentral lists this ribosomal RNA (500 nucleotides) under uncultured bacterium. RNAcentral describes it as "partial 16S ribosomal RNA". It matches the Rfam family "Bacterial small subunit ribosomal RNA", at positions 29 to 523 of the family's 1533-position model. The record is from RNAcentral.
AUUGAACGCUGGCGGAAUGCUUUACACAUGCAAGUCGAGCGGCAGCGCGGGGGCAACCCUGGCGGCGAGCGGCGAACGGGUGAGUAACAUAUCGGAACGUACCCCGUCGUGGGGGAUAACACAGCGAAAGCUGUGCUAAUACCGCAUACGACCUGAGGGUGACAGCGGGGGAUCGCAAGACCUCGCGCGAUGGGAGCGGCCGAUAUCGGAUUAGCUUGUUGGUGAGGUAAAGGCUCACCAAGGCGACGAUCCGUAGCUGGUCUGAGAGGACGACCAGCCACACUGGAACUGAGACACGGUCCAGACUCCUACGGGAGGCAGCAGUGGGGAAUUUUGGACAAUGGGGGCAACCCUGACCCAGCUAUUCCGCGUGAGUGAAGAAGGCCUUCGGGUUGUAAGGCUCUUUCGGCAGGAACGAAACGGCAGGCUCUAACAUAGCCUGUCAAUGACGGUACCUGAAGAAGAAGCACCGGCUAACUACGUGCCAGCAGCCGCCGUAA